This 433-nucleotide ribosomal RNA is filed under the name uncultured bacterium. Its description in RNAcentral is "partial 16S ribosomal RNA". It matches the Rfam family "Bacterial small subunit ribosomal RNA", at positions 29 to 507 of the family's 1533-position model. The record is from RNAcentral.
AACGAACGCUGGCGGCAUGCCUAACACAUGCAAGUCGAACGACACCUUCGGGUCUAGUGGCGCACGGGUGCGUAACGCGUGGGAACCUUCCCUUAGGUUCGGAAUAACUCCCCGAAAGGGGUGCUAAUACCGGAUAAUGUCUUCGGACCAAAGAUUUAUCGCCUUUGGAUGGGCCCGCGUUGGAUUAGCUAGUUGGUAGGGUAAAAGCCUACCACGGCGACGAUCCAUAGCUGGUCUGAGAGGAUGAUCAGCCACACUGGGACUGAGACACGGCCCAGACUCCUACGGGAGGCAGCAGUGGGGAAUAUUGGACAAUGGGCGAAAGCCUGAUCCAGCAAUGCCGCGUGAGUGAUGAAGGCCUUAGGGUAGUAAAGCUCUUUUACCCGGGAUGAUAAUGACAGUACCGGGAGAAUAAGCACCGGCUAACUCCGUG